CACCCCACCCCUGCUCAGCAGCCCAGGGCCUGGCUCCUGUCCUCCCUCUGGCCAGGAGCUCCCACCCUGGGUACGUUCUCCCUGCUCAGUGAGACGCCUCCUCACCCGCCAGACAUCCCACAUCAGCAGAAGCAAAGCCUGUGCGGGACAAGAACACAGGGACCUCCCAGAGGCACACGCACCUCCCGUCUGCAGCCCAGCAUCAGGAGAGGCACAAAUUCUGCCCCAAAUUCCCAAGGAUGAUGAUGGGACUCUGAUCAGAGGCCAAGGCCGUGAAGUCCGGUCUGCCUCUUCCGGGGCCCGAGAGCGGCCUGUACAGCCAGUACGAGCAGGCUUUCGGAAGGUGAAUGUCUAUGCUACGUUUGUGUUUGAUGGCCACACUAGUGGCCUCAGAGACCACGCCCCAGGCUUCUGUGAAGUGUUUUCUAAGCACCAGAGACAUUUGGAGCCUCCUAGCACUGCUUUUCCUCGGAUGGGUCAUUAAUCUGAAGGCUGGCUUUCCCGUCUCUGGGCCUCCACAGCCCAGAACACCAUAGCUGGCCUUGGAGUUAGCAUCAGCCAUGAGCUCAUCAGGCUGGAGAUCACCUCCCUGAGGUUCUGGAUCUGACCCUCAUUGAUCUUCCAAGCAUCACCAGCGUGGCCGUGGGAAACCAGCCCCAGGACAUCAGACUGCAGGCAAGUCUUUCUAGAACUUGAGAAUGGGUCAAGCUGAAGUUCGGGAGACUUCUAGGUCUCUGCGGGCAGCAGCAGGGCUUCUGGUGUGCCUCCCCUGCCCUUGCACUGAGUGGUUGGGGAGGAGACUGGGGUAGCAGUGCCCAGGGCACGGGGCAGAGCUAUUAGGGCACACUAAUAGCUAUCACUCCCCAACACUCUCCAGUGUGGUUCCAUGUCCAUCAUCAUUAAAGCUUCCAAUGGCCAGGACACCUGGGUGUCUCAGUCAGUUAAGCGUUUGACUCUUGAUUUUGGCUCAGGUCAUGAUCUUGCAGUUGGUGAGUUCAAGCCCUGUGUCGGGCUCUGCGCUGACAGCAAGAGCCUGCUUGAGAUUCUCUCUCUCCCUCUUUCUCUCUGCCCAUCCCCCACUUGUGCUCAUCCCCUCAAAAUAAAGAAAUUAACUUACAAAUAAAAGCA
Molecule: long non-coding RNA, 1128 nt
Filed under: Felis catus (domestic cat)
Lineage: Eukaryota; Metazoa; Chordata; Mammalia; Carnivora; Felidae
Description: lncRNA (ENSFCAG00000049379.1)
Source: RNAcentral